AGUGAACGCUGGCGGUAGGCCUAACACAUGCAAGUCGAACGGCAGCACAGUAAGAGCUUGCUCUUACGGGUGGCGAGUGGCGGACGGGUGAGGAAUACAUCGGAAUCUACUUUUUCGUGGGGGAUAACGUAGGGAAACUUACGCUAAUACCGCAUACGACCUACGGGUGAAAGCAGGGGAUCUUCGGACCUUGCGCGAUUGAAUGAGCCGAUGUCGGAUUAGCUAGUUGGCGGGGUAAAGGCCCACCAAGGCGACGAUCCGUAGCUGGUCUGAGAGGAUGAUCAGCCGCAUUGGAACUGAGACACGGUCCAGACUCCUACGGGAGGCAGCAGUGGGGAAUAUUGGACAAUGGGCGCAAGCCUGAUCCAGCCAUACCGCGUGGGUGAAGAAGGCCUUCGGGUUGUAAAGCCCUUUUGUUGGGAAAGAAAAGCAGCAGGUUAAUACCCCGCUGUUCUGACGGUACCCAAAGAAUAAGCACCGGCUAACUUCGUG
This 492-nucleotide ribosomal RNA is filed under the name uncultured bacterium. RNAcentral's name for it is "partial 16S ribosomal RNA". It matches the Rfam family "Bacterial small subunit ribosomal RNA", at positions 29 to 507 of the family's 1533-position model. The record is from RNAcentral.